AAACGUUAAAGGCAGUAAAGCAAGUACAAAACUCGAAAACUUCUCAAAUAAGCUAUUUCUUUUUUGUUUUUAUUUUACUAUUUUGAUUGGCUAUUUAAUAAAAUUCAGGGUUUCAUUAAUAGGAAACUCUAAACUUCACAUUUCUUCUUUACAUCAUCUUCUUCCCGCCGCUGACUCUUCGUCUGCUACUUUUGAAAGCGAAAAUUUUAGCCGCCGUCCAUCUAUUUUUCUUGCGUCUGUCACGUCUCCAUUUUUAGACACCCAUGUCAUGACCGUGUUGGGACCGUGUCCGACCUCUUUUUUUAUGUAUUCCGGCUUGUCCAGUAUGUAUCCGGGCAUGUCCGACGAGUGUCCGUGUUGGACACACGUACAAUAUUGGUACGAGGAGGAAUGAGCCGUGUCCGUGCUUCCUAGUUUAUAAACAAAUUUCCUUGGUUUUUUUGCCUUGGGUAGUUCUCUGGCGAAUGGUGUGACCAACGGAGUGCUUAAGAAUACAUAAAGCCUGGUGAAUGCAAAUGGUUCAGCAGUUAAUGCUCGUCUUUGUCUACUAUUUUGAAGAAAACCUGAAGAUGACGUCCGACUGCGAAUCUAGCUUGGUCUCUGCUAUUGCUCUAACAGUAAAGUAUCCCAUAAUACGGACUUCAAGGAAUUAACUUGAACUGCUUCAGAACGAAAGUCUUGUCUCUUUUGGUGCAGAAGGCAGUCACUUUUUUGCUUCAAAACUACAUUAGAGCUGAGGAGAGCAUACGAUACCAUGCCCUUCCCUUUUAUCCAGGCAAUGUAAGCAGUUGGAAUAGCUUGCUGCAAAUGCACUAGAGAAGAUUGCACAGGUGUUUUGAGUCUUCUGGGGUCGUGUGACAGCAUGCUUUGAGAAGGCCUCUAGCCAUUGUUGUGUUAGACCAUUUGAUAAAUGUAAUGCUCGCAAUGGUGAGACAUCUGCACAUUCAAAGACCUUGUUCCUGUAUAUCCAACUACUCCAGAGUGGCAAUAAGAUUAAUUCGGAGAUGAUCUUGCAGACUCUUGUACUAAAAGAUCUGCAAAAGCAAAUCAUACAUGUUUGUAGCAGCCUUUCAAUAAUUGAGCCUGACUGUGAACUUUUUUGUUUUUUUGGAUAAGUAAAAUUUCAUUCAUCCAAAGAAUGUAAAAUGUUGCUACAAGUAACACUAAACAGAAACUACAGCUUAGCAGCUACAGAAAACAAUCAAUCACCCAACCCUCAAGCUGUGUGAACAAACCCUGAAUGUGCCUUGCAGUGUAAGCAGAUAAUGUAAAACAAAGCAGUCCACGCAAGCCGAAGAAUAGAGUAAAAACAGGAACAGGAAUCGCUCUAGAAUAAAGACGUUUUGCAAAUCAGCUCAACGCUAUAUUAUCUGAUUGAUUGAACGGCUAUCAUCUCACUAAAAAGGAUUAAGAGAUAAGAGUCGGCACAUCAUCCAAAUCCAGUGUUCACCAACAAGCAUGCAACCUUUAAGAGAUUCCUUAAUUACAACCAGUCAUAACUGAAAAAAAUGGCAAACGUCAACAAUAGAAGUUCCAGAAUUCCAAGAUCAAUCAUUUUAUCCCUAAAUUAAGUACUACAUUAGAGCACAAAAUAGAGGUUCUAUGUCAUGUAGUUGGCUCGGUUAACAUGCAUUGGGAGGAGUAACAAUUACAACAUCAAAAUUCAAAAUUUUGAAAAUUCAAACCUGAAGUUGUUAGGCUCCUGCUUCAGGAGACUUGGUCUGCCGCUGCAACUCUUCACCAGCAUUUCUCAGGAAUUGGUCCCAACCACUCCCUGCACUAACAUCCAAGUAAUCAUAUGGAACUGCUGUCUUCAAACCUGGCUGAACAGCGCAUCGGCUCUCUACAAUUCUGAAGUCCAAAUCAUCUCCUUCCCUGGGUUUCUGCUCCAAUUCCUCCCAGGUGAACAGCAAAGGCAAUGUAAAAGCACCCCAAGGAUUGAAAUCCAACACCUUUACACGUUCAUCCUGUGUAACAUAAACAUCAAAUGUGUAAUCAUUGGAUUCAAAUUUCAGCCUCACAAUGCCAUUAAAGAAUUCUUCAAUCAACACUUCAAGAUCAUUUUUCUUCUCACAAAGAACUGGAUAAAAUGUAGUGACCUCCCGCUGUGAAAUUCCAACAAGCUUCU
Long non-coding RNA from Gossypium raimondii (Peruvian cotton), 2128 nucleotides. RefSeq lists it as uncharacterized. The transcript has 2 exons. The record is from RefSeq and is a predicted model, not a curated record. NCBI's taxonomy places the organism in Eukaryota, Viridiplantae, Streptophyta, Magnoliopsida, Malvales, Malvaceae.